Molecule: ribosomal RNA, 117 nt
Filed under: Sinocyclocheilus rhinocerous
Lineage: Eukaryota; Metazoa; Chordata; Actinopteri; Cypriniformes; Cyprinidae
Source: RNAcentral
ACCAGCAGCCAUAUCAUCCUGCAGCCCAAGACUGGUUGCCCACUGAAGCUAAGCAGGGUUGAGUCUGGGCAGUACCUGGAUGGGAGACCUCCUGGGAAAACUAGGUUGCUGCUGGAA